AGCAGCAGCCACGGUAAUACGGAGGAUCCGAGCGUUAUCCGGAAUUAUUGGGUUUAAAGGGUGCGUAGGCGGAUAGAUAAGUCAGUGGUGGAAGACGGUGGCUCAACCAUCGCAGUGCCGUUGAUACUGUUUAUCUUGAAUAUGGAUGAGGUAGGCGGAAUGUGGCAAGUAGCGGUGAAAUGCAUAGAUAUGCCACAGAACACCGAUUGCGAAGGCAGCUUACCAAGGCAAAAUUGACGCUGAGGCACGAAAGCGUGGGGAUCGAACAGGAUUAGAUACCCCUGUAGUCCCUGUCUCUUAUAC
RNAcentral lists this ribosomal RNA (303 nucleotides) under uncultured bacterium. Its description in RNAcentral is "partial 16S ribosomal RNA". It matches the Rfam family "Bacterial small subunit ribosomal RNA", at positions 507 to 807 of the family's 1533-position model. The record is from RNAcentral.